Molecule: ribosomal RNA, 392 nt
Filed under: uncultured Gammaproteobacteria bacterium
Lineage: Bacteria; Pseudomonadati; Pseudomonadota; Gammaproteobacteria
Description: bacterial SSU rRNA
Rfam family: Bacterial small subunit ribosomal RNA
Source: RNAcentral
AAUGCGCGAAAGCGUGACGGAGCAAUGCCGCGUGCAGGAUGAAGCGGUUCGCCGUGUAAACUGCUGUCAGGGUCUAGGAAGAUCUGACCAGAUCCAGAGGAAGGGCCGGCUAAUCUCGUGCCAGCAGCCGCGGUAAGACGAGAGGCCCAAGCGUUAAUCAGAAUCACUGGGCUUAAAGGGUGCGCAGGCGGAUCGGUAGGUGUGUUGUGAAAUCCCUCGGCUCAACCGAGGAAUUGCGAUGCAAACCCCCGAUCUUGAGGCAAGCAGAGGCUGUCGGAACGUUCGGUGGAGCGGUGAAAUGCGUAGAUAUCGAACGGAACGCCAAAGGGGUAGCCAGGCAGCUGGGCUUGUCCUGACGCUCAGGCACGAAAGCGUGGGGAUCAAACAGGAUU